GACGAACGCUGGCGGCGUGCUUAACACAUGCAAGUCGAACGGAAAGGCCCUGCUUUUGUGGGGUGCUCGAGUGGCGAACGGGUGAGUAACACGUGAGUAACCUGCCCUUGACUGUGGGAUAACUUCAGGAAACUGGGGCUAAUACCGGAUAGGAGCUCCUGCUGCAUGGUGGGGGUUGGAAAGUGUCGGCGGUUGGGGAUGGACUCGCGGCUUAUCAGGUUGUUGGUGGGGUAGUGGCUUACCAAGGCUUUGACGGGUAGCCGGCCUGGGAGGGUGACCGGCCACAUUGGGACUGGGAUACGGCCCAGACUCCUACGGGAGGCAGCAGUGGAGAAUAUUGCACAAUGGGCUGAAGCCUGAUGCAGCCACGCCGCGUGCGGGAUGACGGCCUUCGGGUUGUAAUCCGCUUUCGCCUGUGACGAAGCGUGAGUGACGGUAAUGGGUAAAGAGGCCCCGGCUAACUACGUG
RNAcentral lists this ribosomal RNA (468 nucleotides) under uncultured bacterium. RNAcentral describes it as "partial 16S ribosomal RNA". It matches the Rfam family "Bacterial small subunit ribosomal RNA", at positions 28 to 507 of the family's 1533-position model. The record is from RNAcentral.